Long non-coding RNA from Passer domesticus (house sparrow), 3225 nucleotides. RefSeq lists it as uncharacterized. NCBI's taxonomy places the organism in Eukaryota, Metazoa, Chordata, Aves, Passeriformes, Passeridae. The record is from RefSeq and is a predicted model, not a curated record. The transcript has 4 exons.
GCCUGAGGCUGUAUCUGCAGGGUGGCCAACAUCUGACAAAACAAUCUGCUGGAAGGCUCAUGGAGGGAACUUUCCUGAUGCUUGCCCAGAUUUCCCCACACAGGGAGCAGAUCUGGCACGAGCUAUGUGAGCAGCCUGAUUUCCAAACGCACCGUGCCAUAAAUUCCAUCAAGCAGGGAAACACUGCAGAGGAGCUGGUGGGCCGCAACCCACCCAUCUCACUCCAUUUGUGGGCCUAAACCAGCUGGGGUGCCAGCUCCUUCUCUUUAAGUCCCUUUUCCUUAUCUCCUUCUUUAAUCCAGUGUACCAAGCACGCUUGUGCACGCAGGGGAAUCUGCAUCACAUCAGAUUAGUGUUGUCUCCUCUGCAGUGUUUGUGAAGCAGCCAUUUUCUGGUGUGUGGAGAGCACAGAGCCACCAGAGGGAGCGACAGCUCCAAACGUGGCAGCUCGGGAUCCGGGCUGCACCGGGAUGCAAACACAGAAACCACCAAGAGCCGGGAGGAGAGCAGGGCUGGCUCAACGUGCAUGGGGUUGUGUUUAGAUGGAGAAACCCCAAGAAAUUUUAAAGCCCAUUUUGAUGCUUUUGGUCAUUGACAAAGAUUUUAAACAGGACUAUCCCCAAAACUGAGCUCUGAGGAACAUCACUAGUGACUGGCUACCAACUGGAAGUAACUUGAUGCACCACCACUCUGAGCCUGGAUGUCCAGCCAGUUCUUUUUCAUUGUAGACACAACAUGAAAGGUCCAUAGACCAUAGAAGGCCUCUAAUUCCAUCAAGAGAAAGACUUGAGGAGUUGGCUAAUGUCACCAGAAAACCUCAAUGGAAUUACAGCUGCAAUUGUGGGGGUCUGGAGUAUUUCACUUGCUGCAGGAUGGGAAUGAAGUGCUAUCACUCAGCCGCCUCUGCUGUUCUCCAAAGCAUGGUCUUAUUAAACUGGAGCAGUGUGGAGAGAGCUUGUAGAAGCACAGAGAAGGUCAAAGAAGCUCAAAGAUGUGGAGUGGCUGUUGUGAUCAAAUACAAGUCUGGCAGCUGGAAAGGGGGAUGAAGGAAGAUCUCUAUGGUGGCCUGGAAAAAAUAUAUCAGAAUAGAUUAUUCAUUUGCUCUGCCAGUGAAAGAAUAAAAAAGACUGUUGGUGGAAUCAAAGUAGUCAACAGAUAUUGUUUUCCCUGCAAAGUACACAUAACCUUACACAUGGAAGGAUCAAACAUUUACUGAGCAACUGGACAAAUUACAUGUCAGGCUCAGGGCACAGAGGUGCUGCCUCUGGUUUGGGGAGCUCCUGGCCGGUGAAUGCCAGAAGCCAAGGGACAGUAUCCAAAUGUCUCCUUAUCUGGCCCUCCUUUGGCUGUCUGGUCUUCUUAAAGGGAUCUCAGAGUUAGAUUCUAAAAACAUACACGGUCACAGCAGCUGCUUGUUCUGUACUGUCCCCAAAAGGCAGGCUCCUCAUGAAACCCAAUCCUUACCCAGCACUGAGGGUGCAGAGAGCAGUUCUGUCACAAGAAAUAUUCCCCAAAGGUGUAGGCAGAGGGCUGCCCGUGCCGGCUCAUUUCCAGGCUGUUAUCCCAAGCAAUGCAGCAAGCUUGGGAUGCCGACUUUGGACAGCCUGGAGGGAAGAGCAGCGUGUGGUUAGCCAAAUUACCACUGGAUGACACUGUUGUUCCACACAGCUACAGCCAAAAAACUUCAUCUGGCAGUGGAAAUGUGCCUUGUAAAAGAGAAGUGCAGAUGUGGGGUUUUAAGUGUUCAGUGUAUUCUCUCUCUUAGUGCAAGGGGCAAAUUCAUUGCAUUUGCCUUUGUGUAUGUCCUCACAAUUAAAUGCUGGCUUUCAUUCCUUGGUGUUUAGGUUAAACAGCCUGAUUUAAUCUGCAUUUAGCCACUACUGCCUGCGUUCUCCAGAUUCAUAGCAAUGAAAAAAAUAGUAACUUCAUAUGUCACACAGGGAAGCUUUACUUACAACAUCACUAAGAAGAUUAAAAAUAAAUUGAAGCAUAUGUCACUUCAAAGGGGGCAAGAAAAGGACAUCUGCAUUAUUUGAUGCAUUAAUGAGAAAGUUCUGCCGAGUCUUGAUUUGAACUGUAUGGGAAAUGAUGUGAUUGGUAAGCUUGCAAGUUAAAUGUAUUUCAAAUGAAAUUGUUUCUGAAAUUUGUAUUUAAGCUAGGUUAAGGGAUGCUUGCAUUUUAAACUUUGCCUUCUGAUAUCUUGUUCAUAAAUUGAGCUUUACCCUUUUAACUUGAGGAGUUUACAAUAAAAAAUCAGAGCAAUUUAGCUACAAAUAUCUAAGGCUGCAUUUCAGUGGAAUAAGCAAGAACAGCUCUCCUGCCUGAGGCAAAUUUUAUCAUCCAUGACCAUCUGUACAGCUACAAACUAACUACCCCUGGCACUGCAUGAUUCUGUAGACAUUGGGCUAUGGACUAGCAAGCAAACAUCCAUCCAACCUGAUUCCUAUUUCCAGCUCCAAAUACUCCCUAUUAUUCUCAAUUCUGUAUCAAAUAUUUCCAAAAAUGUGGAGCCCAGGUAAUUUUUACCUUUCCCAUCUUUACUAUGAGGAUGAGGAUAAGUAAAACUCAGUGAUGGAUGUUAGAGAUGCAUGGGCAGAAACCCUCAUGAAAAAUUCACGAGGAACAAUAUGAGUUUCUCCACGCCAUCUUGGUGCUUCUGGUUUGUACAGCUCAGCUGAGGAAGGCUUCUUUGCCUCUGAAGGAAAUAUGACUUCCAGGAGGCUAAUGUUCUGUUUAAUGCAUUAGCUUUACCCCUUGGGACUCAGUUACAAAUGCAGCUCAGGCCAAAUUGAUGAAAUAUCAGUUAAUAUGCGAAUCUGACAGCUUGGAAAGGACACAGCUGCAGUGAGAUAGGAUAGUUUUAAGGUGAUAGAGAAAAAUCUACAUAUAAGAACACCAUUAUUUGUGUGUGUGGGUCUUUUAGAGGAAGAUGCUGACAGCUUGUUAAUGAAACCAGGAAUAAUCAGUCUGUUUUUCCAGAGACAAUUUCUCUGCAGUUCAUCCUAUGGGGGAAUUUGGCACAGAACAAAAAAAAAAAAAAAAAAAAAAAAAAAAAAAAAAAAAAAAAAAAAAAAAAAAAAAAAAAAAAAUAGGCUAAACCAUAGUCCAAUUGCUUUAUUGCUAGUAUGACAUUUUGCUGCACAGAGGUUUCAUAUAUGUCAACCUUCUCGUCAUAAGCAUAUCAUGAUUUUGUGAAAAAUUGGUGUGGACACUUGCCAGAUCCUA